RNAcentral lists this ribosomal RNA (762 nucleotides) under Triticum aestivum (bread wheat). RNAcentral's name for it is "partial small subunit ribosomal RNA". Lineage: Eukaryota; Viridiplantae; Streptophyta; Magnoliopsida; Poales; Poaceae. The record is from RNAcentral.
AUGCUGAAGCAUCUGCCGAAAGAACGCAUCACCGGCGACGUCUCCAAGACCGCCGGGCAGAGCUCGGCUGAGGAGGCGCGUGCGGCGGAUGCGCUUGCGCUGCGAGGCAGGCUAGGAGGGGAGUUGGGUGCGCCACGCUCCGUGCGAGAUGUGGGCAUGUCCAGCACCUCCUUCCCUCUCCUCACGCGGACCAACUACCCCAGUUGGUCGGUCAUGAUGAAAGUCAUCAUGGAGGCGCGGCAUAUGAGGAAAGCCGUGGAUACCGGUGAUGUCGAGUACGAGGAGGACCGGUUGGCGAUGGAGGCGAUCUUGCGCUCCGUCCCACCGGAGAUGGUGCUCACCCUUGGCGCCAAGGAGACGGCCAAGGAAGCAUGGGACACCAUCAAGGCUCUACGCAUCGGCGUGGAGCGCGUACGGGAGUCGAAGGCCCAGACCUUGUGCCUCCAGUAUGAGGAGAUCCGGUUCAAGACCGGUGAACAGGUCGACGACUUCGCCUUGCGGCUGCAAGAUCUCGUCAACAAGCUCGCAACGCUCGGCGAUCACAUCAACAACAAGAUGGUGAUUCUCAAGUUCCUCCGCCUCGUCCCCAGGCAGUACAAGCAACUGGCCUGGUCCAUCGAGAGUUUGGUGGAUCUCUCCACCAUGAUGAUCGAGGAGCUGGUAGGGCGGCUGAAGGUCGCCGAGGAGCGCGGCGACGAAGCCGACAACCAUGCUAGCGGCGAACUACUGCUCACCGGGGAGCAGUGGGACGCACAGCUUUAG